CGGGACUGGUGAGUAACGCGUGAGGAACCUGCCUUUCGGAGGGGGACAACAGUUGGAAACGACUGCUAAUACCGCAUGACGUAUCGGGAUCGCAUGGUCUUGAUACCAAAGAUUUUAUCGCCGAAAGAUGGCCUCGCGUCUGAUCAGCUAGUUGGUGGGGUAACGGCCUACCAAGGCGACGAUCAGUAGCCGGACUGAGAGGUUGGCCGGCCACAUUGGGACUGAGAUACGGCCCAGACUCCUACGGGAGGCAGCAG
This 257-nucleotide ribosomal RNA is filed under the name uncultured bacterium. Its description in RNAcentral is "partial 16S ribosomal RNA". It matches the Rfam family "Bacterial small subunit ribosomal RNA", at positions 98 to 354 of the family's 1533-position model. The record is from RNAcentral.